UACGGAGGUGGCAAGCGUUACUCGGAUUUACUGGGUGUAAAGGGCACGUAGGUGGUCCUCUAAGCCCUGCCUUAAAUGCUCCGGCUCAACCGGAGUAUGUGGCAGGGGACUGCAGGACUUGAGGGCUGGAGAGGCAGGCGGAAUUCCCGGUGUAAGGGUGAAAUCUGUAGAUAUCGGGAGGAACACCAGUGGCGAAAGCGGCCUGCUGGCCAGCUCCUGACACUGAGGUGCGAAAGCUAGGGGAGCAAACAGG
This 253-nucleotide ribosomal RNA is filed under the name uncultured bacterium. Its description in RNAcentral is "partial 16S ribosomal RNA". It matches the Rfam family "Bacterial small subunit ribosomal RNA", at positions 524 to 776 of the family's 1533-position model. The record is from RNAcentral.